Drosophila subpulchrella is the source of this 452-nucleotide long non-coding RNA. RefSeq lists it as uncharacterized. The record is from RefSeq and is a predicted model, not a curated record. The transcript is spliced from 2 exons. NCBI's taxonomy places the organism in Eukaryota, Metazoa, Arthropoda, Insecta, Diptera, Drosophilidae.
CUCGGAGCAGAACAGACCAGACCAGACGACAUUCAAUUUAUUGACGGACAAAGUGGCUAUAGAGAAGGCGACGUUCUGGCGACGGACACAUCGGGAUGGAAAAACUCGAAAUGGAUGCGAGGCAGCCGAAUUGGGGAGCUCUUCAAACAGAAACGAAAAGGAACGAAUCAUUAAUCAAAUUGAAGGAGAGAGUCAAAGACAAUCUUUAAAAUCCCCUAAGUGCAUGGCGACAUAAAAAUCUGACACAAUAAUAUGCAGCACUUGGGGGAUUACGAAAGUGUCAAUAAGAGUGAAAAGGUAAAGUUGGAAAAAGUGUGUUUUAAUAGAAUAAAAACGGUUUUAAAGCACAUUAAAUACUUAUCAUCAUCAGCAUUAUAAAACUAAAUUGCAACAGAUGGUCAGGAAUCCAUAUAGUUUAAUAAAAUAUGAAUAAAGCUUUGAUGGAAGCGCAA